GGGCAGUUAGCUCAGCGGUAGAGCAAUCGCCUUACACGCGAUGGGUCACAGGUUCGAAUCCUGUACUGCCCACCA
Molecule: transfer RNA, 75 nt
Filed under: Elusimicrobiota bacterium
Lineage: Bacteria; Pseudomonadati; Elusimicrobiota
Also listed under: 1 other name
Description: tRNA-Val
Rfam family: tRNA
About the family: Transfer RNA (tRNA) molecules are approximately 80 nucleotides in length. Their secondary structure includes four short double-helical elements and three loops (D, anti-codon, and T loops).
Source: RNAcentral